This 73-nucleotide transfer RNA is filed under the name Legionellales bacterium. RNAcentral describes it as "tRNA-Asn". It matches the Rfam family "tRNA". From Rfam's summary of the family: Transfer RNA (tRNA) molecules are approximately 80 nucleotides in length. The record is from RNAcentral. Lineage: Bacteria; Pseudomonadati; Pseudomonadota; Gammaproteobacteria; Legionellales.
UUCUUGGUAGCUCAAUUGGUAGAGCAUUUGGCUGUUAACCAAAAGGUCGUCGGUUCGAUUCCGACCCAAGACU